This 93-nucleotide ribosomal RNA is filed under the name Hordeum vulgare. The record is from RNAcentral. Lineage: Eukaryota; Viridiplantae; Streptophyta; Magnoliopsida; Poales; Poaceae.
GGAUCCCAUUAGAUCUUCGAAGUUAAGCGUGCUUGGGCGAGAGUAGUACUAGGAUGGGUGACCUCCUGGGAAGUACCUCGUGUUGCAUUCCCC